RNAcentral lists this ribosomal RNA (253 nucleotides) under uncultured bacterium. Its description in RNAcentral is "partial 16S ribosomal RNA". It matches the Rfam family "Bacterial small subunit ribosomal RNA", at positions 524 to 776 of the family's 1533-position model. The record is from RNAcentral.
UACAGAGGUCCCAAGCGUUGUUCGGAUUCACUGGGCGUAAAGGGUGCGUAGGCGGUCGGGUAAGUCUGAUGUGAAAUCUCACAGCCUAACUGUGAAACUGCAUUGGAUACUAUCCGGCUAGAGGAAUGGAGGGGAGACUGGAAUACUUGGUGUAGCAGUGAAAUGCGUAGAUAUCAAGUGGAACACCAGUGGCGAAGGCGAGUCUCUGGACAUUUCCUGACGCUGAGGCACGAAAGCCAGGGGAGCAAACGGG